GCCGAGCUUGGUAACUCUAGCUUGUAACCCAAAUGGGGGCAACAAAGUGAUGGAACAUGGUAUGUGCCACGCUCGGUUGGGCUGGUGGAUGCAUUAUGCAGGCCUGCCCGCUCCAAGUUAGGAGUCGAGCAAUGGGACUUGGGCGAAGGCCCGGGUCUCCCUGUUCCUAAAGUGGAGGGCACAGCGUGAGGCUGGCUUCACAGAGCAGCGAUUACCUCCCUCUCCUCACAGUGGAGGGAUAACAGGCCUCUGCUCCCUCAGCCCACUAUAACCGGGUGUGCCAUACUCCUGAACCAUCUCUUUU
Molecule: non-coding RNA, 304 nt
Organism: Cajanus cajan (pigeon pea)
Lineage: Eukaryota; Viridiplantae; Streptophyta; Magnoliopsida; Fabales; Fabaceae
Source: Rfam